This is a non-coding RNA of Nylanderia fulva, 362 nucleotides long. The record is from RefSeq and is a predicted model, not a curated record. Lineage: Eukaryota; Metazoa; Arthropoda; Insecta; Hymenoptera; Formicidae.
UUACCUGAUUAAAGCAGCGAUUAUUUCGUCGCACCGAAAAUUGUCGAAAACAUCGAUGAUAUGAACACGCGGCCAAGAACAACACGUGUGAAACGCGUGGCAUCGAGCAUAUUAUUCUAAAUACAAGCCGUACGAUUACGCACCCCUGUCGCGCAGCCUGUGGUCUAAUCAGUUUGUGGUCGUGAGAAGACUGACAUCUCAGCAACUAACUUCGAUAUACUCAAACACCGAAAUGGCAGAUAUACAGAUGAAUGAAGCCGACCACAUCGCCGCCGAGCCCGUGGCCGCCGGCCCCGUCGCCGCCGGCCCCGUUGCCGCCGACUAUCAUAGAGGUUAGUUAAAUUUUAAUUUAAUUAAAUUGA